This 1020-nucleotide ribosomal RNA is filed under the name Hirsutella sp. RS-2012. Its description in RNAcentral is "SSU rRNA". It matches the Rfam family "Eukaryotic small subunit ribosomal RNA", at positions 73 to 1104 of the family's 1831-position model. The record is from RNAcentral. Lineage: Eukaryota; Fungi; Ascomycota; Sordariomycetes; Hypocreales; Ophiocordycipitaceae.
AUUAUACGGCGAAACUGCGAAUGGCUCAUUAUAUAAGUUAUCGUUUAUUUGAUAGUACCUUACUACUUGGAUAACCGUGGUAAUUCUAGAGCUAAUACAUGCUGAAAAUCCCGACUUACGGAGGGAUGUAUUUAUUAGAUUAAAAACCAAUGCCCUCUGGGCUCUCUGGUGAUUCAUGAUAACUUCUCGAAUCGCACGGCCUUGCGCCGGCGAUGGUUCAUUCAAAUUUCUUCCCUAUCAACUUUCGAUGUUUGGGUAGUGGCCAAACAUGGUUGCAACGGGUAACGGAGGGUUAGGGCUCGACCCCGGAGAAGGAGCCUGAGAAACGGCUACUACAUCCAAGGAAGGCAGCAGGCGCGCAAAUUACCCAAUCCCGACACGGGGAGGUAGUGACAAUAAAUACUGAUACAGGGCUCUUUUGGGUCUUGUAAUUGGAAUGAGUACAAUUUAAAUCCCUUAACGAGGAACAAUUGGAGGGCAAGUCUGGUGCCAGCAGCCGCGGUAAUUCCAGCUCCAAUAGCGUAUAUUAAAGUUGUUGUGGUUAAAAAGCUCGUAGUUGAACCUUGGGCCUGGCUGGCCGGUCCGCCUCACCGCGUGCACUGGUCCGGCCGGGCCUUUCCCUCUGCGGAACCCCAUGCCCUUCACUGGGCGUGGCGGGGAAACAGGACUUUUACUUUGAAAAAAUUAGAGUGCUCCAGGCAGGCCUAUGCUCGAAUACAUUAGCAUGGAAUAAUGAAAUAGGACGUGCGGUUCUAUUUUGUUGGUUUCUAGGACCGCCGUAAUGAUUAAUAGGGACAGUCGGGGGCAUCAGUAUUCAAUUGUCAGAGGUGAAAUUCUUGGAUUUAUUGAAGACUAACUACUGCGAAAGCAUUUGCCAAGGAUGUUUUCAUUAAUCAGGAACGAAAGUUAGGGGAUCGAAGACGAUCAGAUACCGUCGUAGUCUUAACCAUAAACUAUGCCGACUAGGGAUCGGACGAUGUUAUUAUUUGACUCGUUCGGCACCUUACGAGAAAUCAAAGU